This 438-nucleotide ribosomal RNA is filed under the name uncultured bacterium. RNAcentral describes it as "bacterial SSU rRNA". It matches the Rfam family "Bacterial small subunit ribosomal RNA", at positions 355 to 796 of the family's 1533-position model. The record is from RNAcentral.
UCGAGAAUCUUCGGCAAUGGGCGCAAGCCUGACCGAGCGACGCCGCGUGGAGGACGAAGGCCUUCGGGUUGUAAACUCCUGUCGAGGGGGAAGAAGGGCCGUUAAAAGCCUUGACUGAUCCCUGGAGGAAGCACGGGCUAAGUUCGUGCCAGCAGCCGCGGUAAGACGAACCGUGCGAACGUUAUUCGGAAUCACUGGGCUUAAAGCGCGUGUAGGCGGAUGGGAACGUCGGUCGUUGAAAUCCCCCGGCUUAACCGGGGAAGGGGCGCCGAUACGACCCGUCUGGAGGAACGUAGGGGGAGCUGGAACUUCCGGUGGAGCGGUGAAAUGCGUUGAGAUCGGAAGGAACGCCCGUGGCGAAAGCGAGCUCCUGGACGUUUUCUGACGCUGAGACGCGAAAGCCAGGGGAGCGAACGGGAUUAGAUACCCCCGUAGUCC